RNAcentral lists this ribosomal RNA (967 nucleotides) under Sporidiobolales sp. LM130. Its description in RNAcentral is "bacterial SSU rRNA". The stretch from base 1 to 360 matches the Rfam family "Eukaryotic small subunit ribosomal RNA", at positions 1473 to 1831 of the family's 1831-position model. Lineage: Eukaryota; Fungi; Basidiomycota; Microbotryomycetes; Sporidiobolales. The record is from RNAcentral.
UUAGAGUUCUGGGCCGCACGCGCGCUACACUGACAGAGCCAGCGAGUCUACCACCUUUGCCGGAAGGCAUGGGUAAUCUUGUGAAACUCUGUCGUGAUGGGGAUAGAACAUUGCAAUUAUUGUUCUUCAACGAGGAAUACCUAGUAAGCGUGAUUCAUCAGAUCGCGUUGAUUACGUCCCUGCCCUUUGUACACACCGCCCGUCGCUACUACCGAUUGAAUGGCUUAGUGAGGCCUCCGGAUUGGCUAUUGGGAGCUCGCGAGAGCACCCGACUGCCGAGAAGUUGUACGAACUUGGUCAUUUAGAGGAAGUAAAAGUCGUAACAAGGUUUCCGUAGGUGAACCUGCGGAAGGAUCAUUAGUGAAUAUAGGACGUCCAACUUAACUUGGAGUCCGAACUCUCACUUUCUAACCCUGUGCACUUGUUUGGGAUAGUAACUCUCGCAAGAGAGCGAACUCCUAUUCACUUAUAAACACAAAGUCUAUGAAUGUAUUAAAUUUUAUAACAAAAUAAAACUUUCAACAACGGAUCUCUUGGCUCUCGCAUCGAUGAAAAACGCAGCGAAAUGCGAUAAGUAAUGUGAAUUGCAAAAUUCAGUGAAUCAUCGAAUCUUUGAACGCACCUUGCGCUCCCUGGGUAUUUCCGGGGAACAUGCCCGGUUUGAGUGUCAUGAAAACUUCACCCCUCCCCUUUCUUAAGGAUUGAAAAGGUGUUUGGUUUCUGAACCCUGCUGGCCUUUACGGGCUAACUCGUUCGUAAGGCAUUAGCAUCCGCAAUCGAACUUCGGAUUGCUUGGCGUAAAAACUAUUCCCUGAGGAAUUCUAGUCUUCGGACUAAAACCGGGUUGGGUUAAAGGAACUUUCUAAUCAAAAGGUCUACCUUUUAAAAAUAAAAUCUCAAAUCCGGGGGGGACUACCCCCCUGAAUUUAACCUUUUCAUAAGGGGGGGGAAAAAAAACUUACCGGGG